RNAcentral lists this ribosomal RNA (399 nucleotides) under Acanthamoeba sp. AVL-14. Its description in RNAcentral is "SSU rRNA". It matches the Rfam family "Eukaryotic small subunit ribosomal RNA", at positions 769 to 1078 of the family's 1831-position model. The record is from RNAcentral. Lineage: Eukaryota; Discosea; Longamoebia; Acanthamoebidae.
AAGUGUCAAGCAGGCAGAUCCCUUUUCUUCANCGAAUACAUUAGCAUGGGNUAAUGGANUAAGACCCUGUUCCUCCUAUUUUCAGUUGGUUUUGGCAGCGCGAGGACUAGGGUAAUGAUUAAUAGGGAUAGUUGGGGGCAUAAUAUUUAAUUGUCAGAGGUGAAAUUCUUGGAUUUAUGAAAGAUUAACUUCUGCGAAAGCAUCUGCCAAGGGAUGUUUUCAUUAAUCAAGAACGAAAGUUAGGGGAUCGAAGACGAUCAGAUACCGUCGUAGUCUUAACCAUAAACGAUGCCGACCANCGAUUAGGAGACGUUGAAUACAAAACACCACCAUCGGCGCGGUCGUCCCUGGCUCGUCGUCUCACGACGGCGGGCGGGGGCGGUUUAGCCCGAUGGCACC